This 301-nucleotide ribosomal RNA is filed under the name uncultured bacterium. RNAcentral's name for it is "partial 16S ribosomal RNA". It matches the Rfam family "Bacterial small subunit ribosomal RNA", at positions 509 to 808 of the family's 1533-position model. The record is from RNAcentral.
CAGUCGCCGCGGUAAUACGUAGGUCCCGAGCGUUGUCCGGAUUUAUUGGGCGUAAAGCGAGCGCAGGCGGUUAGAUAAGUCUGAAGUUAAAGGCUGUGGCUUAACCAUAGUACGCUUCGGAAACUGUUUAACUUGAGUGCAAGAGGGGAGAGUGGAAUUCCAUGUGUAGCGGUGAAAUGCGUAGAUAUAUGGAGGAACACCGGUGGCGAAAGCGGCUCUCUGGCUUGUAACUGACGCUGAGGCUCGAAAGCGUGGGGAGCAAACAGGAUUAGAUACCCCCGUAGUCCCUGUCUCUUAUACC